CAGCAGCCGCGGUAAUACGUAGGGUGCGAGCGUUAAUCGGAUUUACUGGGCGUAAAGCGUGCGCAGGCGGCCCGUUAAGACAGGUGUGAAAUCCCUGGGCUCAACCUAGGAAUUGCGCUUGUGACUGGCGGGCUCGAGUACGGUAGAGGGGGGUGGAAUUCCUGGUGUAGCAGUGAAAUGCGUAGAGAUCAGGAGGAACACCGAUGGCGAAGGCAGCCCCCUGGGCCUGUACUGACGCUCAUGCACGAAAGCGUGGGGAGCAAACAGGAUUAGAUACCCUGGUAGUCCACGCCCUAAACGAUGGGUACUAGCCGUUUGGUGCGCGAUAGCGCUGAGUGGCGAAGCUAACGCGUGAAGUACCCCGCCUGGGGAGUACGGCCGCAAGGUUGAAACUUAAGGAAUUGGCGGG
RNAcentral lists this ribosomal RNA (409 nucleotides) under uncultured microorganism. RNAcentral describes it as "bacterial SSU rRNA". It matches the Rfam family "Bacterial small subunit ribosomal RNA", at positions 509 to 917 of the family's 1533-position model. The record is from RNAcentral.